This is a long non-coding RNA of Girardinichthys multiradiatus, 4776 nucleotides long. RefSeq lists it as uncharacterized. NCBI's taxonomy places the organism in Eukaryota, Metazoa, Chordata, Actinopteri, Cyprinodontiformes, Goodeidae. The transcript has 13 exons. The record is from RefSeq and is a predicted model, not a curated record.
GGGCUUCAUCUCAGCCAGCCUCCAGACCUCCUUCACCACCACUGCCAACCUUCAGAACUCCGUCACCAUUGCCGGUGCCCUCCAGAACUCUAUGCCUUCUUGUGACCUCCUGGUUUGGGUUGUUUCUUUGUCGUUUUUUUGUUUUCUCCUCUCACUGCUGGAUUCUUUUGUUCCACUGCUCUUGUCCCGAUGCUUCGUUGCUCUGCCACAUUAUCCGUUGUCUCACCCAGUUCUCCAUGCCAGUCUCUCAUUAUUCAUUAAAUAUUUAAUCUCACCACGACUCUCUCAAGUUCUUGUUAGCACUUUGGUCCUGCAAUAAACCUACACUACAUGACAAGCAGAGACACAAUUUCAGAUUCAUUGAUGAAGAGCUUCCAAUCAGAGGGACAUCUGAGGACAGAAUAGGGAGAGAUGGGAACAGAGAACAAGUGGAGUAAGCUUUUAUUGAGAUAACAACACAAUAACAUGUUGAAAAGGCCUGGUUAAAAUAACAGUUAUAUGUUUCAAUCCAGAAAGACAAUUGUAGCAACAAUUAAUAGACAAAAUAGAAAACAUCCAAUCAGUUUGUAAACCUUCAUCUUUAGCAUCACCUGUCAGAAAGAGGAAGAUGAGAAAAAAAUGUAGAACAAAUGACGUCUAUUUACAGGAAACUUUUCAAAUCUGAACAAAGUUGAACUCAAAGUAAGUUUCCAUAUUUGAGUUUCUGCUGUCCAUGUUUAUUCUUCCUCUUCAUGAAUCCUAUGCUUUUGUUUUGUCAAUUCAUGUCAACAUACCUGAGCUCCUGAGUUUUGUGCUGAUGAAGAAAACAUUAACAACAACCCAAACAGAGGUCCUGCUCCACCGCCCCAGAUCUACUGAUUAUAACACAGUGUGGAAAAGGAUAUUGUAUCAGUAAGAUGACUGGGAUGAGACCAAAACACCGGUCCAAUGAGGAGCGAGACAAUUAGAGGACAAGCAGAAAUUCCUGUUGAAAAUCCAGUGAUUUAAUGAUAACCUGAAGACGGAGACAGAAAGCAUGUAGAUUCAUCAUCCAAGGUUAAAUCUCAGUUUGUGAACCUUCACCUUUAACACCACCAGUCUGAUGGAGGAAGAUAAGAAAAUCAAGGUAAGGAAAAAGGAACAUCUGGAAAGACACAUCGACGUCAGCUCAAGCAGAGGACCUGCUCCACCACUUGAUCACACUGUGGGUGGAAAGGUUGGUACAGGGGGUCACCUGAAGACAGGAAACAGAAGACAGAGACAGCGCAUGUAGAGAUUCAGACUUCGCUGACCUUUGAUGUCUCUGAUAAUCCCAGGUUGAAUCUCAUCGGUUUGUGACCCUCUGACUGACACCACCAGCUAGACAGAGGAAGAUAAGAAAACGAAGUUGACAAAAAAAGUAAGAAAAUAUGUAUUUACACAAAAAAACGUUACAAAUGUUCACACAAUUACGCUUAAAAUGUAAAACUUUCAGACUUCCUGCUUUCAUUGGUUAUUCUUCCUCUUCACUGAUGCUGUUGUCUGGUCUCUGUUUAUUUGUUGUACAUUCAUCGCCUGAUGACUGAGCUUCUGUGAAGUUUGUGCUGCUGGAAGGAACAUCUGGAAUGACAUAUCGGCAACGCCUCAAGCUCAGGACCUGCUCUGCCUGAUCUACUGAUUAUAACACAGUGUGGAAAAAGCCUUUGACCAGCAGGGGGAUUGUGUGCACCUGAGGCCCAGAGAAAGGAACCCUUCUGCAAAGCAGUUUCCUGGCAGGCUGCAAGGCUUCAUGGGACCUGAGCUCACCAUCACCAAGGGACAUCUGAGGAACGUGACAGAGAGCAUGUGGAAACUCUGAGGUCUCCUCCAACUUCAACACCAGUCAGAAGGAGGAAGAUAAGAAAAUGAAGUCAACUCAAAAAAAGAUGAUGGUGGGAUGAUGACACAUCAACAGUGAUUCAAACAGAGAACCUGCUCCAGAAGCAUUAAGAUAUGUUUACUUAAACACUGUGUGGAAAAAAAAGUAGAUUGUGAGUUCAGUUCUGGACUCUGGGGAACUCUGACAUUAACUAGCUGAUCAGCCGUAGCUAGUGGUGACUUGAACAUAGAAUCUGCCCCUCCAUCUGAUCUACUGACCUUAACACAGUGCUGAAAAAUGACUGAGAGGAGACAACAGGACCUUUAAGGACUGAGAAGACAGUGUGGUGCACAGAAAGGCGGCAUACCCUUUGCAGGGUUUCACUGAAGAACGCCCAGAGACAGCUGGAGGACUACUGCACUGAGGACAGACCUGAAGACACAGAAAUAGAGGAAAGGAAGGAAGAAUAUGAACCCACCAAGACUCGACUGUCCACCUGGACUGGCAGGCAGGACGAGAAGAGCAUCAAUCAAGAAAGCAGCCAAGAGGCCAUGGGUAACUCUGGAGGAGCUGGAAGGGCCCACAGCUCAGGAGAGAGGUUCUGCUAACAUGACACUUAACAAAUCUGGCCUUUAUGUAAAAGUGACAAAAAGAGAGUUUUGCAUAAGUAGGCUUGCAAAAUGCUAGGAAUUUUCAAAGCCUGAAACUUGGAAUUAACAGGACUUUAUAGGAAAAAUAAAAUAAAAACAGAAUUUAAAAUAUGAAAGGUUGGGCUUUAACAGGAAUUUUCUAUAUUUCUGCAAAAUAUGCAUAUUUUAGCAUAUUCUGACUAAACCAUCCAGACUUUAUGCAUAUAUAUUUAUUCUAAUCCACAAUCACAUGCCCAAAUCACCCUGCCUCUUACAAGGUGUAUGAAACCAAGCCCUAUGUGCACUGUGUAUUCCUCCAUCAUGAUGUCUAGGACCAUGAGCAGGACCCCAGAACUACUGUGGAUACACAUUCCAGCCUGUUGAUUACAUAAAGUGAAGUAAGAAUAUAUCCAUAUGUACCAUAUAUUUAAUGUAAUAUAUUAAUGUUCAACUUCACAUAUAUAUCAGAUUAUGCCUACACAAAAUUCCCAUGAAUAUUGUCCAAUUUUGAAUAUUUCCAAAAUUCCACAACUUAACCUCUGAAAUAUUUGCAUGUGUCUUUACAGUCCGGGCCACUUGUCAUAUAAAGGAUGCAGCAAACAUGGAAGAAUGUGGUCUGCUUAAAUGAGACCAAAACUGAGUUUAUUAACACACCAUACCAUGAUGAAACAUGGUGGCGGCUGUAUUAUGCUGUGGGGAAGCUUUACCUUAUCAGUGGCUAAGGGGCUUCAGUGACCUGACACUUCAAGCUAGUCACAACAAACACCGAUGGAAGGGGAUAGAUCCAGGUAAAAUGGUCCAAUCAAAGUCCAGACCUAAAUCCAAUUAAACAUGUGUGGCAAAAUCUGAAAAUUAUUAUAAAAAAUAUAAAAAUACCGCCUAGAUUUGCAAACAGUGACAUACCCUAAAAGAUGUAAUUACAACAAAAGUGGCUUUUUCAAAACUAUUUACUUUCCAGAUUUUGGCAAAAAUAAUAUUUGGAACACAUCUUGUUUUCAUUCCUUUCACAAUUAUGCACUACUGUAUGAUGGUCUAUCACAUAAAAUCCCAAUAAAGUACACUGAAGCUUGUAAAUGUAACUUGACUAUCAGGAGAAUGUUCAAGGUGUAAACAAACCUUUAGCAUUAUCAUUAUGUGUUUAAAUCUAACUCACCUUGCCUUGUUUCUCCCCCUCGUUCUGGUUUCCCUUCCCCCCCUUUAAUAGCGAGGGGUGAGGGGUGAAAUUGUAACAGGGUUUAUUGUCUCCUAUGCUGCUUAUAGGAACACACACACGAAUGCUGUUAGCAGCACCUUUGACUCGCAGCAUAUUGGAUUGAGGGGUUACAAGCAGACACCUGCGCACGCAUAACCAAACACACACACGUACACGUAUCAAUAGGGUCAGAGGUCAAACACCGUAAUCUGCACCUGGGUCAGAACUACUUGCCCAUGAGGUUUAUGAGACCCUAAACCCUUCUCUCUUUCUCUCAUAUGCACAAGCCAAGGGGUAUGCACAAUUGAUCUGGUUGUUUUAAGCCAGAGUCAGGCUCUUCCCCAGUAACAUGAGCUGCAGAGUGAAAAGGCCUUCUUUACUCAGUGGCUGGCUCUGCACACUGUCUGCUUUUUUAUAUAUAAACAUUGAACAGUCAGCAGAUAACUUCUUCAAUGGCUUUGAAUCAACAUAACUUGCAAAAGCGAAGCAACAAAACUAACAGCUUCAAGAUGUUGUGGAGGUUCAAACUAUCUUUUUGCAUUUUUAUCCCAUAAAGCAAAAAAAAAAAUGAAACAAAAGUCAAAUUUAGCAUAAACCAACAAGAUUUCUAAAAUUAAAGUUUUUAUGUCACUUUCCAGUUCUUUACUGGACUUCUUGCACGUUUCUUAUAAAAUGUUGUCAUGGCGAUCUUGCUGCCAGUGGGGGUAUAAGCAUUGAACACGGUGAGCUGAAAUGUAGAUAUUUAAAAGUGGACAUAUGCAAAAUCCAAUUUUUAGCAUUCAAAUAUAUUUUGUUGUGUAGUUGGAGUCUGUAGGAGUAGAGAAAAGUUGAAAUCGGUCUCUCCAGGUGUUGCAGAGAUAUCUUUAUAUUCUGUUUUGGGUCAUAUUUCUCAGUUCAGUUUUCUCUAUCAUCUAUAAAGUUUUUCCAACUGUUACGUCACAGUAUUUGCAGCGGAACAGCUAGAUACGGUCAUACACAUCCGGCUGAUCAACUUCCCAUAUCCGCUAUAUUUAUUUCUCGCAGCAGUUUUGUAGUCCAAGCUCAAGUAUGCCUACGCUGAAAGAGGAUCAGUUCGGUUCGGUUGUUGGGUGUAUUAACCCACGCAUCAGAACCUCUUCAAAGUGCCUGGUUAAAUUGUA